CCUACGGGGGGCAGCAGUGGGGAAUAUUGGACAAUGGGGGCAACCCUGAUCCAGCCAUGCCGCGUGUGUGAAGAAGGCCCUCGGGUUGUAAAGCACUUUCAGUGAGGAAGAACGCCUGGUGGUUAAUACCCAUCAGGAAAGACAUCACUCACAGAAGAAGCACCGGCUAACUCCGUGCCAGCAGCCGCGGUAAUACGGAGGGUGCGAGCGUUAAUCGGAAUUACUGGGCGUAAAGCGCGCGUAGGUGGCUUGAUAAGCCGGUUGUGAAAGCCCCGGGCUCAACCUGGGAACGGCAUCCGGAACUGUCAAGCUAGAGUGCAGGAGAGGAAGGUAGAAUUCCCGGUGUAGCGGUGAAAUGCGUAGAGAUCGGGAGGAAUACCAGUGGCGAAGGCGGCCUUCUGGACUGACACUGACACUGAGGUGCGAAAGCGUGGGUAGCAAACAGGAUUAGAUACCCCUGAGUC
Molecule: ribosomal RNA, 464 nt
Filed under: Vreelandella stevensii
Lineage: Bacteria; Pseudomonadati; Pseudomonadota; Gammaproteobacteria; Oceanospirillales; Halomonadaceae
Description: partial 16S ribosomal RNA
Rfam family: Bacterial small subunit ribosomal RNA
Source: RNAcentral